RNAcentral lists this ribosomal RNA (489 nucleotides) under Pareas boulengeri. RNAcentral's name for it is "partial 12S ribosomal RNA". The record is from RNAcentral. Lineage: Eukaryota; Metazoa; Chordata; Lepidosauria; Squamata; Pareidae.
GCCCAACCAUAAUACAACAAUUAAACCACAAAUUGUUCGCCAAAUAACUACGAGUAAAAACUUAAAAUUUAAAAGACUUGACGGUACUUCACAACAACCUAGAGGAGCCUGUCCAAUAACCGAUAACCCACGAUUAAUCCUACCCCCUCUAGCCUACAGUCUAUAUACCGCCGUCGCCAGCCUACCUUGUGAAAGAAAUAAAGUAAGCAAAACAAUACCACAUUAACACGACAGGUCGAGGUGUAACUAAUGGGGGGGGAAAGAUGGGCUACAUUUUCCACAAGAACAGACGAAUGCGGCUAUGAAGCCGGCCGCUGAAGGAGGAUUUAGCAGUAAGAUAAGAAUAAAAUGCCUAACUGAAACAUGCAAUGAAGUGCGUACACACCGCCCGUCAUCCCUGUAAUACUACUAUAAAAUAUAUAAUAACUAUCACCAAUAAAGCAGGGCAAGUCGUAACAUGGUAAGUGUACUGGAAAGUGUACUUAGUAA